RNAcentral lists this ribosomal RNA (590 nucleotides) under Apiospora arundinis. RNAcentral's name for it is "eukaryotic LSU rRNA". The stretch from base 231 to 384 matches the Rfam family "5.8S ribosomal RNA". Lineage: Eukaryota; Fungi; Ascomycota; Sordariomycetes; Amphisphaeriales; Apiosporaceae. The record is from RNAcentral.
GGGUCUCAGAGUAACACUCCCAUACCAUUUGUUAACCUACCCAGUUAUGCCUCGGCGUAAGCUCGGUUGGAGGCACCUGCAGCUACCCUGUAGUUGCACCCGCAGCUACCCUGUAGUUGUUGGUGCAGCUACCCUGUAGUUGCGGACUGCCAACUCCAGCCGCGGCCCGCCGGCGGUACACUAAACUCUGUUUUAUUUUAUAUUCUGAGCGUCUUAUUUUAAUAAGUUAAAACUUUCAACAACGGAUCUCUUGGUUCUGGCAUCGAUGAAGAACGCAGCGAAAUGCGAUAAGUAAUGUGAAUUGCAGAAUUCAGUGAAUCAUCGAAUCUUUGAACGCACAUUGCGCCCAUCAGUAUUCUGGUGGGCAUGCCUGUUCGAGCGUCAUUUCAACCCUUAAGCCUAGCUUAGUGUUGGGAAUCUGCUGUACUGCAGUUCCUUAAAGACAGUGGCGGAGCGGCGGUAGUCCUCUGAGCGUAGUAAUUUAUUUCUCGCUUUUGUCAGGCUCUGUCCUCCCGCCAUAAAACCCCCAAUUUUUUAGUGGUUGACCUCGGAUCAGGUAGGAAUACCCGCUGAACUUAAGCAUAUCAUAA